Molecule: ribosomal RNA, 480 nt
Filed under: uncultured bacterium
Lineage: Bacteria
Description: bacterial SSU rRNA
Rfam family: Bacterial small subunit ribosomal RNA
Source: RNAcentral
AUUGAACGCUGGCGGCAUGCUUUACACAUGCAAGUCGAACGGUAGACCCCUUUCGGGGGUUGAGAGUGGCGAACGGGUGAGUAAUGCAUCGGAACGUGCCCAGUCGUGGGGGAUAACGUAGCGAAAGUUACGCUAAUACCGCAUACGCACUGAGGUGGAAAGCGGGGGACCGAAAGGCCUCGCGCGAUUGGAGCGGCCGAUGUCGGAUUAGCUAGUUGGUGGGGUAAAGGCCUACCAAGGCGACGAUCCGUAGCGGGUCUGAGAGGAUGAUCCGCCACACUGGGACUGAGACACGGCCCAGACUCCUACGGGAGGCAGCAGUGGGGAAUUUUGGACAAUGGGGGCAACCCUGAUCCAGCCAUGCCGCGUGCGGGAAGAAGGCCUUCGGGUUGUAAACCGCUUUCGGACAGAAAGAAUCGCAUGGGUUAAUACCCUGUGUGGAUGACGGUACUGUAAGAAGAAGCACCGGCUAACUACGUG